UUGACCAAAGCCGCAAGGCAGAGGUUGAAAAGAUAGCGGCGAACGGGUGAGUAACGCGUGGGCAAUCUGCCCCGAAGACUGGGAUAACACUCCGAAAGGGGUGCUAAUACCGGAUGAGACCACGGGAUCGCAUGGUUCUGAGGUCAAAGGCGGGGAUCGUAAGACCUGUCACUUCGGGAGGAGCCUGCGUCCUAUCAGCUAGUUGGUAGGGUAACGGCCUACCAAGGCUUUUGACGGGUAGCUGGACUGAGAGGUUGGUCAGCCACACUGGGAGUGAGACACUGCCCAGACUCCUACGGGAGGCUGCAGUCGAGAAUCUUUUGCAAUGGGCGAAAGCCUGACCAUGCGACGCCGCGUGCGGGAUGAAGGCCUUCGGGUCGUAAACCGC
Molecule: ribosomal RNA, 388 nt
Filed under: uncultured organism
Description: bacterial SSU rRNA
Rfam family: Bacterial small subunit ribosomal RNA
Source: RNAcentral